Molecule: long non-coding RNA, 2892 nt
Filed under: Apis dorsata (giant honeybee)
Lineage: Eukaryota; Metazoa; Arthropoda; Insecta; Hymenoptera; Apidae
Description: uncharacterized LOC116185149
Source: RNAcentral
AUGAUCGAAAAAUUUCCAACGAUUUCGAUAAUUAACUAGAAAUCGUAAAAUAUCACCAUCCUCGAAAACGAAGUUUCCAUUAAUGGGACCAUUUUCGUGCCCGCGCAUACUUUCGUACUCACACGUAACAUCGUUUCUGAUUCCCCUUCUUUCUUUGUUCCUAUUCGUUUCAUAUGGGUCAUUUUACUAGACUUGCUUCGAAAUAUGGGUGUCCCGUAACGAAAAUUUGGAUUGGUUUCAUUUCGAGAUCGAAGUAAUGAACGAAUAUUAGCGAACGAAUAAUUAUUAAUAAUUAUAAUUCCAAAAUUAUGUUAUAUUAUGAGAUACAUAUGAUGAGAAAGAAAAGAAGAAUUAUGAGAAAUAUUCGAAACAAGUGCAAACAGCGUUCAAAUUGUUCCGACUGUUAACAACGAUCAAUUGUUCUUCCCAUUCGACUUGAGAUUUAAACACGCGUGAGUUAGCACAUCGGUUCGAACGAUUAGUCGCCGCGUUUGUAAUCGUUAUCGAGGCCGUUAACGGUAUAAUGAUUCAAAGUCGUGUAACUCGACGAUCGUUCGAUCAAAAAUUAUAGUUCGGAUCAAAGAUCGCGUAUAAGGCGCAAAAAUGUAUCGUGGAAUCACGUAGAUUGGAGAAGAAGAAAACGAAAGAUUACGUAUACAAACGUUAUGCUCGAUCCAUGAUUUGGUCUGGUCAGGUCCAAGUUGAUUAAAUAGAAUUAAUAGAACGCGUAUACCAUUCGUGUGCACCGAUUGCAACAUGUACACACACACACACAUACACACAUACACGCAUACGCGUGAGAUACAAUUUCCAAUAAUAUUAUAGAAUAUUGUGUAAUAAAUAUGGAACGACUUUUCUCCUUUAAUAUGAAACGCUUUGAAAAUCGUUAACCGGAGAUAAAGAAGCGUAUCUCGAAACUUAUCCUGACAUCUCGAGAUUAGUCCAAUAAUUCGAUGAUAAUGCAACGAAGCGCGAAAAAAGAAAUAAAGAGAAAUAUGCGCGGGAAUAAUUAGAUGCACAACUAAAAACAUGUGUACACGCGAGCGCGCGCGCGGGCGCGCAUUCUCAACGUCCAAUAGAUUAAGUCAUAGUACCGUAAAUAACGCCGCGAUAUCGACUGAUCGAAUAUGAACUUUAACGUAUAACGCAGCUUCCGCAUUUAGUACAAUGUUAGCGGUUAUGUAAUGACUGUACGGUUAUCGGAGUCCUGUCCGAUUAAAAACGCGCCAAUUUCGCGUGAUUCCCGCGACAAUCUUCACGUAACAUCACGAUAGAGGAUGCUAGGUCGUAAAAAAAAUGCGAUCUGUAGUGCGUGAACUUCAUCAAUUUUCUAACUUUCAUAGUUAAAAAUAUUGUCGCUUUGAAUCUACGCGCGAUCCACGUGCAUUUUCAAAAAACAAACGAACAUACGCGUGACAAUUCCGCUCAACGAUAAAUGGUUAUAACUAUCUUUCAUUGGAAAAUCGAAUUUAUAAAAUCAUGGCUAUCAAUUGCAUAAGAGCACGAUCGAAUUUUAAUCUUAUCUCACUGAUUUUUCAUAGACAUUGACAUUUCGAGUCGAUUAAUGACAAUACUGUCAAUCUAAAAGCUAUCGUUUUAUCGUGCGAAAUUAUAAACGUUAAGAAAAGCAAUUUCGCGCAGAAGCAAGACGAUAAGUUGUUUCAGAACCCGGAACCCGGAAGUAUCAUACUUAACGGAAAAGAUUUUCAUUGGCAUUUUUAUCGUAUGAAAAGUUAGGUUAUUGACCGAUUGCACUUGAUAUAUUUUUUUUCGAAAAUUCAAUUUAUUUUUGUAAUUAAAAUAAUUACUAUCGAUAAAUUUUUUAUAUAAUCAUAAAUUGAAAUAAAAUAAAAUAAUUUGUUUCUAAUUCUUAUGAGAAAAACAUACAUUGAUAUCUUGAAUUAAACUCGAAACAGCACGUGAUGACUUGUAUUAUAUCUCCAAUAAUUUCGAGAUUGCGAAGAUAUUUAAAAUUGUUAAAUACGAACGAUAUUCGUUUCAUCGAAAUAGUUCGAAAGUGCAUGGAUUGAAAGUUGAACGACGCACUUCAACGAACGAUAAACUAUCAGAAAAACGAAGAACAGUUCAUUUGGUCACUAUCGAUCGUGGAUAAAAGUAUGUCGCGUAAAUAGAAACACAAACACGAUUAUCGUCAAGUUUAUUGUAAACGCUUUCAAUUUCUUUUAAAUGAGAAACGAAUGAAGAUUUUUUAAUCACGGAUAUAUACAUUUUGAUUAAAAUGCAUAUAGAAAAUCGUGAGAAUAUUCGAAAAAGAACUUGAGAUUUUUCUUGAAAAUACGAUAGUCGGUUCGAACUAGUCAGCAGGAUGGAUGCGAUUGUCGAUCGCACACGUAUGCAUUUAUUAAGAACUUACAGGACGGAUGGUGGCAACAAGCACACAGUACGUUUCGCAUAUACCGGAGCAUAUAAACACAUAUGCAUCCGUCCGCACACUACGAUAACGAAUAGGAAAGAGAAACAGAGGGCCAGUAGCGAGUACAUGUAGUUGUACGCGUUAACACAAAUACUGAUAGUAGACUAGUCACACACUCAAAUACGCACGACCGUAUAGAAAGACGAGCACAUUCACGUAGGCAUACACACACUCGAUACACGGUGCAACGAGGAAAGAGAAUACUCGUUGUUUACGUUCUAACAUCUGAGCCGAAGAAGGUAUACGGAAAAUAUCAAGAUAUGUCCCUCAAUGACAAGGACCUACUGGGAUUUCCUUACUCUGCUUGUGUAAUCCGAAACUUCUCGCAUGAUAGCCUCGAACGCCGCUCUUUCCUGUGCUUCCUUCUGUUUGUGUAGCGCGAUCUUGUCACUGAACUUUCGUGGAUUCGCCAUGAUGGCUCGGCACUAGAUCUUCCGACACUCGCGAGUAUCGUGCAC